Molecule: ribosomal RNA, 544 nt
Filed under: Parazen pacificus (parazen)
Lineage: Eukaryota; Metazoa; Chordata; Actinopteri; Zeiformes; Parazenidae
Description: partial 12S ribosomal RNA
Rfam family: Bacterial small subunit ribosomal RNA
Source: RNAcentral
ACCCCCGUGAGAAUGCCCUAAGUACCCCCCGGAACUAAGGAGCGGGCAUCAGGCACGCACAUGCAGCCCAUAACGCCUUGCUUAGCCACACCCCCAAGGGACCUCAGCAGUGGUAAACAUUAAGCCAUAAGUGAAAACUUGACUUAGUUAAAGCUUAGAGGGCCGGUAAAACUCGUGCCAGCCACCGCGGUUAUACGAGAGGCCCAAGUUGAUAGCCUAACGGCGUAAAGCGUGGUUAGAGAAAUUAAAAUACUGGAAUCAAACACUCCCAAAGCUGUUAUAAGCAUAUGAGAAUACGAAGCCCACCCACUAAAGUGAUUCCACCAAUCCCCGACCCCACGAAAGCUACAAAACAAACUGGGAUUAGAUACCCCACUAUGUGUAGCUGUAAACUUUGAUGGUUACUAAUACCUACCCCAUCCGCCUGGGAACUACAAGCGACAGCUUUAAACCCAAAGGACUUGGCGGUGCUUUAGACCCCCCUAGAGGAGCCUGUUCUAGAACUGAUAAUCCCCGUUAAACCUCACCCCCCCUUGUUAAUACC